Molecule: long non-coding RNA, 527 nt
Organism: Pezoporus occidentalis (night parrot)
Lineage: Eukaryota; Metazoa; Chordata; Aves; Psittaciformes; Psittacidae
Exons: 2
Source: RefSeq, a predicted model, not a curated record
CGGCGGGCGGGAGAGGCUGCGAGAGGCGAACCGCGGCGGUGAGGGCGGCACCGGGUAACGGGGAGUGCGGGAGCUCGCGGCUGGUUCGCGGCCGCCCUUCCUCCGCACGGGGAUGAGGCGUUUCCUUUUUCGGGGGCUAGCACUGGAGCGCUGCCCGGGCUGGCACGGAACGGCAUUCCCCCCGCGGGGAUACACAGAAAGAAGUUGAAAAAUAAGGAUGUAAAAACUACUUUUCUUUUCCUGCUCAUUUGAAGAGGUGCCAGUAAAUCUAGCUCCCUAUUUUCACUUCAAGAUGCUCAAGAUCACACACGGAAUUCAGAAUUGCUUUGAAGAUACUGUGAAGGAUUUCUGAUUCAAAACGAAUAUCCUUGUCUGUGUGAACACUGUAGGGCUAUUGACAAGAAAGAAAAAAAAAUUAAUCCCAAAUUAUCCAUGUGACUGGUUAAACAGACAGCGUAGCAUCUUAUUCAAGAGGCAUUUCCUUAAAUCCAUCUUCUUAACUCUAAUAAACAUUCCCUUGAAAUCAA